Molecule: ribosomal RNA, 714 nt
Filed under: Bacillus subtilis
Lineage: Bacteria; Bacillati; Bacillota; Bacilli; Caryophanales; Bacillaceae
Description: bacterial SSU rRNA
Rfam family: Bacterial small subunit ribosomal RNA
Source: RNAcentral
GUCGAGCGGACAGAUGGGAGCUUGCUCCCUGAUGUUAGCGGCGGACGGGUGAGUAACACGUGGGUAACCUGCCUGUAAGACUGGGAUAACUCCGGGAAACCGGGGCUAAUACCGGAUGCUUGUUUGAACCGCAUGGUUCAAACAUAAAAGGUGGCUUCGGCUACCACUUACAGAUGGACCCGCGGCGCAUUAGCUAGUUGGUGAGGUAACGGCUCACCAAGGCAACGAUGCGUAGCCGACCUGAGAGGGUGAUCGGCCACACUGGGACUGAGACACGGCCCAGACUCCUACGGGAGGCAGCAGUAGGGAAUCUUCCGCAAUGGACGAAAGUCUGACGGAGCAACGCCGCGUGAGUGAUGAAGGUUUUCGGAUCGUAAAGCUCUGUUGUUAGGGAAGAACAAGUACCGUUCGAAUAGGGCGGUACCUUGACGGUACCUAACCAGAAAGCCACGGCUAACUACGUGCCAGCAGCCGCGGUAAUACGUAGGUGGCAAGCGUUGUCCGGAAUUAUUGGGCGUAAAGGGCUCGCAGGCGGUUCCUUAAGUCUGAUGUGAAAGCCCCCGGCUCAACCGGGGAGGGUCAUUGGAAACUGGGGAACUUGAGUGCAGAAGAGGAGAGUGGAAUUCCACGUGUAGCGGUGAAAUGCGUAGAGAUGUGGAGGAACACCAGUGGCGAAGGCGACUCUCUGGUCUGUAACUGACGCUGAGGAGCGAA